AGCAAGAAAACUGAGAUGGGUCUAAAUAUGAAUUCCGUUGUUUGGUUGUUCGAUGAAUUCCAAAUCAUGUCUGGAUGAUAAAAUUUGGAAUUGCAUUGAUCUAAACAAAAAACUUCCCCCCUUUCCGUUUCUAUAAUCAUCUCUCUCGACAGACUUGGCUGACUGAUAGAAGACGGACAGUGACUGUAGGAGAGGUGCUGGUCCAACUUUGCUUGUGUCGACCAGCCGAUUCAAUAAUUUCUCCAGUUGUUACUAGUCCAUGUAAAACAGCCACUGGAUACACCUGUCUGCACUCUGCAGCACUGAACAUCUUCACCGAAUGCAAUGCUCUCGAGCCACCAAGAAGAGCCCAGCACUCCUUCACUC
Molecule: long non-coding RNA, 366 nt
Filed under: Hordeum vulgare
Lineage: Eukaryota; Viridiplantae; Streptophyta; Magnoliopsida; Poales; Poaceae
Description: long non-coding RNA (HVUL_LNC017808)
Source: RNAcentral